RNAcentral lists this long non-coding RNA (1748 nucleotides) under Nicotiana benthamiana. Its description in RNAcentral is "long non-coding RNA (NBEN_LNC021183)". Lineage: Eukaryota; Viridiplantae; Streptophyta; Magnoliopsida; Solanales; Solanaceae. The record is from RNAcentral.
CAAGACACUCUUCAUCUUCUUCCUCUGAAUUCUAAAGUUCAUAAUCUGAAAAUUUUCCAUUAACUUCCUGGUAUCAGAACAGUAGAGCUUGAAAUUCUAGCUCAUGUUGUCGAUCUUUCCCAUUCUUCCUCAUUUAAAGAAAAUCCAAUUCAAAUUUCUUGUGAAUUCUUGUCAAUGGAAAACGAAAGAGCUUUAGGUCAUGGAUCUGGAUCUCAACAACAUGCAAGGGAUAAAUUGAACUCAGGAGUUAGAAAUUUAACUGUUGGAACUGGAAAUCAACCAGUUAGAGUCGACUAUAAUCAUCAUCUGUUCCUGUCUCCAACCAAUAUGAGCGGUAUUCAGAUCAUCUCGUUUCAACUCACAGGUAUUGAGAACUACUCAAUCUGGAAUCGAUCUAUGCGUGUUACUUUUCUAGGAAGAAAUAAGUUGGGCCUAAUUGAUGGCUCAUUUAAGAAGGAAACAUUUCCAGAAAUUCUAUGGAAUCAUUGGCAGAGAGUAAAUGCAAUUGUACUCUCGUGGAUUAUGAAUUCUGUGUCUAAAAAUCGUCUAGGAGGGAUUAUGUAUGUUUAUUGUGCCCAAGUAGUUUGGAAAGAUUUAUCUGAGAGGUUUAACAAGGUAGAUGAUUCAAGGUCGUUUAGUCUGCAUAAAGAAAUUGCAACAUUGUCUCAAGGUACUGUAUCUGUUUCAGUAUACUUCUCAAAACUGAAAGAUAUGUUGGAAGCGUUUGAAGCCUUUCACUAGGUUGUGAUUGUCCUAAAUCUAAGGAGUUUGUAGUAUAUCUUCAAAAACGUAAGCUGUAUUAGUUUUUAAUGGGACUUAAUGACUCGUAUGCCCAGGCUAGAAGUCAGAUUCUAAUGAGAAGUCCAGUUCCUACAGUCAAUCAAGCUUAUACUAUGAUAAUUAGUGAUGAAGGUCAGAAAUCAAUGACCAAUGCCGUAGGAAUUUUAGGUGCCAAUCCUGCAAUGAUGUCAGAAAGUUUUGAUGCAGUCAUGUACUCAAGAUCCACAUGAAAUCAAAGAUUCAAGAAAAACUACAAUGUUUAGUGUGACUUUUGUAAACUCAAGGGACAUAGCAAAGAAAACUGCUACAAAAUUGUGGGCUAACCUCCUGAGUAUAGACCAAAAAAGAAAGGGGGAACUGGAACCAAUGCUGCCUAAAAUGUCAUGACUGACAACAUGGUGCAACAGACAUAUAGUAGUUAUAAUGAUGCAAGAGGUCCUUUACAAAGUGUUAAUAUGAAUAUAAAUCAAGGAUCUUAGGACAAAGGGACUAUAUGAACUCAAUUUCAACCAAUUGAAUCAGAUAACAAAAUGCACAUUCUCAAUAGAGCAAUAUGAUCAAAUACUCCAACUACUUAACAAGUAUGGAGCCAGUCAGGAUUCAAGCACAAUCUCAACCCCUGCAGCCAACACAUCGGGUAUUAGUUGUGCUCUGAUGGUCUUCAAUAGUCUUCAAGAGUGGAUAAUAGAUAUAGGAGCCACAAAGCAUAUGGUGGCUAAUUUGAAUAUGCUAAAUGAGUCUACUAUAAUUCAAUCUGUAAAACCAAAGAAAAUAUUCAUGCCAAAUGGACAUAUUUCAUAUGUGACACACAUAGGUGCUAGCACCAUAUCAGAAGAAAACACAAUUACUAAUAUGUUUUAUGUUCCAUCAUUUAAAUUCAAUUUAUUAUCAGUAUCUAAACUCACAAAGGAAUUGCAGUGCUCAGUAGCCUUUUUUCCUUAUUUCUGUGUAUUUCAGGAACUCUUCAG